This 372-nucleotide ribosomal RNA is filed under the name uncultured prokaryote. RNAcentral describes it as "bacterial SSU rRNA". It matches the Rfam family "Bacterial small subunit ribosomal RNA", at positions 526 to 896 of the family's 1533-position model. The record is from RNAcentral.
CGGGGGGUCCAAGCGUUGUCCGGAUUUACUGGGCGUAAAGGGCGCGUAGGCGGAACGGUAAGUCGGGGGUGAAAUGUGCGGGCUUAACCUGCAGAUUGCCUCCGAUACUGUCGUUCUUGAGUGAAGAAGGGGAAAGCGGAAUACCUGGUGUAGCGGUGGAAUGCGCAGAUAUCAGGUAGAACACCGGUGGCGAAGGCGGCUUUCUGGUCUUACACUGACGCUGAGGCGCGAAAGCGUGGGGAGCAAACAGGAUUAGAUACCCUGGUAGUCCACGCUGUAAACGAUGUGCACUAGAUGUCGGGGGAAUCGACCCCUCCGGUGUCGCAGCUAACGCAUUAAGUGCACCGCCUGGGGAGUACGAUCGCAAGGUUG